This 376-nucleotide long non-coding RNA is filed under the name Panax ginseng (ginseng). Its description in RNAcentral is "long non-coding RNA (PGIN_LNC018140)". Lineage: Eukaryota; Viridiplantae; Streptophyta; Magnoliopsida; Apiales; Araliaceae. The record is from RNAcentral.
GACAUACUGCCUAGACGGCUGAAGUGAAGUGAGACACAUCACAAGUAUUAAAAGAAUGAAAUUAAGAUUGUUUUCUUAAUGUCCAACAAAAAAAAGAAGAAAAAAAGAACUCAAGAUUGAUUACCAUUUGAUACUAAUCAGUAUAAUGCUUGGUUACUGAAUGAUGGGGUUUACUGAAUUCUUGAUACAGUCACAGGGUUCUCCAAUCACGUCUGUCAAUUCCAACUCUUGUUCAGGUGUUUCUGAGCCAUCUGCUUCCUGGCUUUUAUCACAAGAAUUUGAUUCUGGGGUUGAUCAUGCAUAUUAUACAAGCGAGAAAGCACUUCUAGGUAACAUUAAUUUUCCUCAAAAUUGUCAGUGAGUGCCUUCAUAAAAU